Molecule: ribosomal RNA, 457 nt
Filed under: uncultured Streptococcus sp.
Lineage: Bacteria; Bacillati; Bacillota; Bacilli; Lactobacillales; Streptococcaceae
Description: bacterial SSU rRNA
Rfam family: Bacterial small subunit ribosomal RNA
Source: RNAcentral
ACAAGCGGUGGAGCAUGUGGUUUAAUUCGUAAGCAACGCGAAGAACCUUACCAGGUCUUGACAUCCCGAUGCUAUUUCUAGAGAUAGAAAGUUACUUCGGUACAUCGGUGACAGGUGGUGCAUGGUUGUCGUCAGCUCGUGUCGUGAGAUGUUGGGUUAAGUCCCGCAACGAGCGCAACCCCUAUUGUUAGUUGCCAUCAUUCAGUUGGGCACUCUAGCGAGACUGCCGGUAAUAAACCGGAGGAAGGUGGGGAUGACGUCAAAUCAUCAUGCCCCUUAUGACCUGGGCUACACACGUGCUACAAUGGUUGGUACAACGAGUUGCGAGUCGGUGACGGCGAGCUAAUCUCUUAAAGCCAAUCUCAGUUCGGAUUGUAGGCUGCAACUCGCCUACAUGAAGUCGGAAUCGCUAGUAAUCGCGGAUCAGCACGCCGCGGUGAAUACGUUCCCGGGCCCU